RNAcentral lists this ribosomal RNA (407 nucleotides) under uncultured bacterium. RNAcentral describes it as "bacterial SSU rRNA". It matches the Rfam family "Bacterial small subunit ribosomal RNA", at positions 355 to 774 of the family's 1533-position model. The record is from RNAcentral.
UGGGGAAUAUUGCACAAUGGGCGCAAGCCUGAUGCAGCAACGCCGCGUGAGGGACGACGGCCUUCGGGUUGUAAACCUCUUUUGGCAGGGAAGAAGCGAAAGUGACGGUACCUGCAGAAAAAGCACCGGCUAACUACGUGCCAGCAGCCGCGGUGAUACGUAGGGUGCAAGCGUUGUCCGGAAUUAUUGGGUUUAAAGGGUGCGUAGGCGGACUAAUAAGUCAGUGGUGAAAGCCUGCAGCUUAACUGCAGAAUUGCCAUUGAUACUGUUAGUCUUGAGUACAGUUGAGGUAGGCGGAAUGUGUCAUGUAGCGGUGAAAUGCUUAGAUAUGACACAGAACACCGAUUGCGAAGGCAGCUUGCUAAGCUGUAACUGACGCUGAGGCACGAAAGCGUGGGGAGCAAACA